RNAcentral lists this transfer RNA (72 nucleotides) under Marmota marmota marmota (Alpine marmot). It matches the Rfam family "tRNA". From Rfam's summary of the family: Transfer RNA (tRNA) molecules are approximately 80 nucleotides in length. Their secondary structure includes four short double-helical elements and three loops (D, anti-codon, and T loops). Further hydrogen bonds mediate the characteristic L-shaped molecular structure. tRNAs have two regions of fundamental functional importance: the anti-codon, which is responsible for specific mRNA codon recognition, and the 3' end, to which the tRNAs corresponding amino acid is attached (by aminoacyl-tRNA synthetases). tRNAs cope with the degeneracy of the genetic code in two manners: having more than one tRNA (with a specific anti-codon) for a particular amino acid; and 'wobble' base-pairing, i.e. permitting non-standard base-pairing at the 3rd anti-codon position. RNAcentral also lists the same sequence under 1 other name. The record is from Rfam by way of RNAcentral. Lineage: Eukaryota; Metazoa; Chordata; Mammalia; Rodentia; Sciuridae.
UAGGAUGUAACUCAGAGGUAGAGUACUUGCCUAGCAUGUACCAGGUCCUGGGUUCAAACCCCAGUACUUCAA